This 397-nucleotide ribosomal RNA is filed under the name uncultured bacterium. RNAcentral describes it as "partial 16S ribosomal RNA". It matches the Rfam family "Bacterial small subunit ribosomal RNA", at positions 523 to 918 of the family's 1533-position model. The record is from RNAcentral.
AUACGUAGGGGGCGGGCGUUGUCCGGAAUGAUUGGGCGUAAAGGGCGCGUAGGCGGCCCGGUAAGUCUGGAGUGAAAGUCCUGUUUUUAAGAUGGGAAUUGCUUUGGAUACUGUCGGGCUUGAGUGCAGGAGAGGUAAGUGGAAUUCCCAGUGUAGCGGUGAAAUGCGUAGAGAUUGGGAGGAACACCAGUGGCGAAGGCGACUUACUGGACUGUAACUGACGCUGAGGCGCGAAAGUGUGGGGAGCAAACAGGAUUAGAUACCCUGGUAGUCCACACUGUAAACGAUGAAUGCUAGGUGUAGGGGGUAUCGACCCCUUCUGUGCCGCAGUCAACACAAUAAGCAUUCCGCCUGGGGAGUACGGCCGCAAGGUUGAAACUCAAAGGAAUUGACGGGG